GAUGAACGCUGGCGGCGUGCCUAAUACAUGCAAGUCGAGCGAACGGACGAGAAGCUUGCUCCCCUGAGGUUAGCGGCUGACGGGCGAGUAACACGUGGAUAACCUACUUAUUAGUCUGGGAUAACUACGGGAAACCGGAGAUAAUAACAGAUCAUACUUUGAACCGCAUGGAUCAAAAGUGAAAGACGGUUUUGCCGUCACUUAUAGAUGGAUCCGCGCUGGAUUAGCUAGUUGGUAAGGUAACGGCUUACCAAGGCAACGAUGCGUAGCCGACCUGAGAGGGUGAUCGGCCACACUGGAACUGAGACACGGUCCAGACUCCUACGGGAGGCAGCAGUGGGGAAUCUUCCACAAUGGGCGAAAGCCUGACGGAGCAACGCCGCGUGAGUGAUGAAGGUCUUCGGAUCGUAAAGCUCUGUUGUUGGGGAAGAACAUCAGUGUAAGAAACUGUCCACGUCUUGACGGUACCUAAUCAGAAAGCAACGGCUAACUACGUG
This 497-nucleotide ribosomal RNA is filed under the name uncultured bacterium. RNAcentral's name for it is "partial 16S ribosomal RNA". It matches the Rfam family "Bacterial small subunit ribosomal RNA", at positions 28 to 507 of the family's 1533-position model. The record is from RNAcentral.